UUCGAUUACCGGGAGAGCAUGCGCUGUCUCAGAGUGUAAGAGUCCGCACUAAACUCCAAGUUUUAAUUUGGUCGUCCCAAAGUACGGGAGUGUUUUUAGUUGCUAUUGACUACUUAAAACAGUGAUGCCAAAUGCCAAGCAGAUAAAAGCCAAAGAAACCAAAGAAAAAGAAGAUUUCUCAUAAACCACCCAAAUCUCCAAAAUCUCCUUAUCUCUCAGACACAUACCAGCACCCAAAAAAAAAGCUGCAGUUUGGAGAUCUUAAAAAGGCACUGGGACAAUGCAUGUUGACAAUCCUUCGGCUAGAGUACCCUGGGAGCUUGCAUCACUUACAAGUGGACUUGGAUAUGUUCCUGGAACCACUGACUACUAAGAGAAAGAGGACAUGUAUAAUGGGAUCAUUGAACUCAAGAAGAUAAGCUCUGUAACACUUUCAGUUAAGAAUUACAAAGGAAACUCUUGGAGGAUGAACUCUGUCCUUAAGCAGCAUUCAAAACAUGUUGGGCCCGAUCUUCGAUCUUUGCGCAAUCCCUCACUAAAUUUAUGCCUCACAAAAAAAUAGUGCUUUGGCACAAAAUGAGAGCUAUUUCAAAAAGGCACAAAGCA
This is a long non-coding RNA of Polyodon spathula (Mississippi paddlefish), 606 nucleotides long. RefSeq lists it as uncharacterized. The transcript is spliced from 4 exons. NCBI's taxonomy places the organism in Eukaryota, Metazoa, Chordata, Actinopteri, Acipenseriformes, Polyodontidae. The record is from RefSeq and is a predicted model, not a curated record.